Molecule: ribosomal RNA, 458 nt
Filed under: uncultured bacterium
Lineage: Bacteria
Description: partial 16S ribosomal RNA
Rfam family: Bacterial small subunit ribosomal RNA
Source: RNAcentral
CCUACGGGGAGCAGCAGUGAGGAAUAUUGGUCAAUGGCCGGAAGGCUGAACCAGCCAAGCCGCGUGAAGGACGAAGGUGCCAAGCAUUGUAAACCUCUUUUGUCGGGGAGCAAAAGCCGGACGUGUCCGGCUGUGAGAGUACCCGCAGAAAAAGCAUCGGCUAACUCCGUGCCAGCAGCCGCGGUAAUACGGAGGAUGCGAGCGUUAUCCGGAUUUAUUGGGUUUAAAGGGUGCGCAGGCGGAUUUUUAAGUCAGCGGUCAAAUCGUGGGGCUCAACCCCAUCCAGCCGUUGAAACUGGGGAUCUAGAGUGUGCGAGAGGUAGGCGGAAUGCGUGGUGUAGCGGUGAAAUGCAUAGAUAUCACGCAGAACCCCGAUUGCGAAGGCAGCAUACCGGUGCACAACUGACGCUCAGGCACGAAAGCGUGGGUAUCGAACAGGAUUAGAUACCCUGGUAGUC